GAUGAACGCUGGCGGCGUGCCUAAUACAUGCAAGUCGAGCGAACGGACGAGAAGCUUGCUCCUCUGAUGUUAGCGGCGGACGGGUGAGUAACACGUGGAUAACCUACCUAUAAUACUGGGAUAACUUCGGGAAACCGCAGCUAAUACCGGAUAAUAUUUUGAACCGCAUGGUUCAAAAGUGAAAGACGGUCUUGCUGUCACUUAUAGAUGGAUCCGCGCUGCAUUAGCUAGUUGGUAAGGUAACGGCUUACCAAGGCAACGAUGCGUAGCCGACCUGAGAGGAUGAUCAGCCACACUGGAACUGAGACACGGUCCAGACUCCUACGGGAGGCAGCAGUAGGGAAUAUUGGGCAAUGGGCGAAAGCCUGACGGAGCAACGCCGCGUGGGUGAUGAAGGUCUUCGGGUCGUAAAGCUCUGUUAUUGGGAAAGAACAGCUGUAUGAGAAACUGUGCCCGUCUUGACGGUACCUAAUCAGAAAGCAACGGCUAACUUCGUG
Molecule: ribosomal RNA, 497 nt
Filed under: uncultured bacterium
Lineage: Bacteria
Description: partial 16S ribosomal RNA
Rfam family: Bacterial small subunit ribosomal RNA
Source: RNAcentral